This 253-nucleotide ribosomal RNA is filed under the name uncultured bacterium. Its description in RNAcentral is "partial 16S ribosomal RNA". It matches the Rfam family "Bacterial small subunit ribosomal RNA", at positions 524 to 776 of the family's 1533-position model. The record is from RNAcentral.
UACGUAGGUGGCAAGCGUUGUCCGGAUUUACUGGGCGUAAAGAGCGCGCAGGCGGUCGUUCAAGUCGCGUGUGAAAGCCCCCGGCUCAACUGGGGAGGGUCACGCGAUACUGAUCGACUCGAAGGCAGGAGAGGGUAGUGGAAUUCCCGGUGUAGUGGUGAAAUUCGUAGAUAUUCGCAAGAACACCAGUGGCGAAGGCGGCUCACUGGCCCGUUACUGACGCUGAGGCACGAAAGCGUGGGGAGCAAACAGG